RNAcentral lists this ribosomal RNA (484 nucleotides) under uncultured bacterium. RNAcentral describes it as "partial 16S ribosomal RNA". It matches the Rfam family "Bacterial small subunit ribosomal RNA", at positions 29 to 507 of the family's 1533-position model. The record is from RNAcentral.
AUUGAACGCUGGCGGCAUGCUUUACACAUGCAAGUCGAACGGCAGCGCGGGCUUCGGCCUGGCGGCGAGUGGCGAACGGGUGAGUAAUGCAUCGGAACGUGCCCAGUAGUGGGGGAUAGCCCGGCGAAAGCCGGAUUAAUACCGCAUACGACCUGAGGGUGAAAGCGGGGGACCGAAAGGCCUUGCGCUAUUGGAGCGGCCGAUGUCGGAUUAGCUAGUUGGUGGGGUAAAGGCUUACCAAGGCGACGAUCCGUAGCUGGUCUGAGAGGACGACCAGCCACACUGGGACUGAGACACGGCCCAGACUCCUACGGGAGGCAGCAGUGGGGAAUGUGGGACAAUGGGGGCAACCCUGAUCCAGCCAUGCCGCGUGCGGGAAGAAGGCCUUCGGGUUGUAAAGCGCUUUUGUUCGGGAAGAAACCCUCUGGGCUAAUACCCCGGGGGGAUGACGGUACCGAAAGAAUAAGCACCGGCUAACUACGUG